UCCUCCUGGCCUGUGGUAUGUGUACCUCUAUGCAUAGCUCUAACAGUAGUCUAGCAGGACAUACAGCAAUAUACUCUCCAUUUAGGAGGGAAGUCCUGAGCAUAGGGCUGACAGUCACUAAAAAGCAUGAGAGGACAAU
Molecule: non-coding RNA, 139 nt
Organism: Suncus etruscus (white-toothed pygmy shrew)
Lineage: Eukaryota; Metazoa; Chordata; Mammalia; Eulipotyphla; Soricidae
Product: small Cajal body-specific RNA 11
Exons: 1
Source: RefSeq, a predicted model, not a curated record